Molecule: ribosomal RNA, 496 nt
Filed under: uncultured bacterium
Lineage: Bacteria
Description: bacterial SSU rRNA
Rfam family: Bacterial small subunit ribosomal RNA
Source: RNAcentral
AUUGAACGCUGGCGGCAGGCCUAAUACAUGCAAGUCGAACGAGAAAGCAUCUUCGGAUGUAAGUACAGUGGCGGACGGGUGAGUAAUACAUAGGAAUCUACCCAAUGGUGGGGGAUAGCUCGGGGAAACUCGAAUUAAUACCGCAUAAUCUCUACGGAGUAAAGGGGGCUUCGGCUCUCGCCAUCGGAUGAGCCUAUGCAGGAUUAGCUUGUUGGUAAGGUAAUGGCUUACCAAGGCAACGAUCCUUAGCUGGUUUGAGAGGAUGACCAGCCACAUCGGGACUGAGACACGGCCCGGACUUCUACGGAAGGCAGCAGUAGGGAAUAUUGGACAAUGAGCGAAAGCUUGAUCCAGCCAUGCCGCGUGUGUGAUGACGGCCUUCGGGUUGUAAAGCACUUUAGGUAAUGAGGAAAAAUUAGAUGUUAAUACCACCUAAUCAUGACGUUAAUUACAGAAUAAGCACCGGCUAAAUCCGUGCCAGCCGCCGCAGUAAAAC